GUUGACCAAUACAUGUUAAAUAUGUUAAAGUAUAAAUUAAAUACAAUAUAAGUAUAAAAUAUAUAUAUUGAACAAGCUGUUAAUCAAUGCCCUAAGAAAAAUUUUCAAAGCCAGAUGGAUUUACAUUUCAAUUCUACCUAACAUUUAGAGAACAAUUAAUUCCAAGACUAUGAAAACUCUUAGGAAAAACAGGGAAAGAAGGACUAGUACCAAAUACUUUUUAUGACACAGAUAUAGUACUGAUACCUAUACCAGGUAGGAUCAAAACAGAGAAAGAAAAUGUUAGACCAACUUCUCUAAUGAAUAUUAAUGCAAAAAUCUUAAGUAAAAUAUAGGCAAAAAUAUUAUAGCAGGUUAUUCCCCAGGAUAAUACACCAUGAUCAAGUCAAAUUUAUAUCAGAGAUGCAAGACCAGUUCAAUAUUAGGAAAACUGUUAGCAUAAUUGACUAUGUCAAUAACUAAACUAACAAAAAUCAUAUGACUACCUCAGUAGAUGCAUAAAAAUCACUUGACAAAUUCCAACACCCAUUCCUAUUAAAAAUAAUAGAGAGUUUAGGAAUAAAUGGAGUUUUUCUUAAAAUGAUCAAACUAUCUGCAAGCAUCAUAUGUAAUGAGGAUAAACUAGCACCAUUCUCAAUAAGAUUAGGGGUGAAAUAAGGUUGCCCACUGUGAGGGACGUAGAAGACCAUUACCCAAAAUGACUACUCAGAGAUUACUCAGUAGAAGGCAGAAAAGUUGUUUAUUGAAAAACCUCCAGAGGAUGAGCCAUCCCAUCGAGAGAUAAGAAGGAGAAAGCUCACAGUAGGAGGGCUAAAGAAGUAGUAAAGAUACAUAGCUUUUAUACAAGAAAUUACAUCACAAGUAAGAGAGCAUUGAGAAGGGGAGGGGGAGGCAUCUAAUUGGUUGUUGCUAUUUGGGGAGAUUGAAACAGAAAGUCAGGCCUUCAGGCUUAAUCAAGCAGACAGUGGUCUAGCUAAUAGACUAAAUAUCGAUAAAUGUCAAAUACCAAUAAAUGUCAUCAGCUCAGGUUAAGUAAAUAUGUUUCUAGCUGGCCAAGGCUCAAGUAAAUAUGAGCCUGCACAUAUUAUACAGGUCAUAGGGGAAACACAGAAAUAAUAAAAUACAGAAAAAGAAUUCAUACAUUCCUGUAAGUUCUUCACCUUAUCUCUCUCUAUUCCAUACAAUUCCCCCCUUCUAAUAUGUAAAUGAUUUUUAUCAUAUUUCUAUGAAGAACUUACACACUAUUCAAAAUCAGUUAAUAUAUCUAUACAUUGUUUAUCAAGUUCACAAUCAAGAUCAUCCCUCUCUAAUACAUUCCAGUCUUUUCUCUGAAGAAUCAUCAUUUUAAUAAUAUCUUCUGUAUGCAAUAUUUUGAUAGGGACCGUUGAACUAUUCUGGUUAUUAAUGUAAUUAUACAGGGUAGACAUAGUGGCAACAGGAUAAUAGCACUGAUUGCAAUAAGUUCAUACCAUAAAAAUUGCUUCCACCAAUUAUUUUAGAAACAUUAUCACAGAACAGAUUGGCAUUUGGCAAACAUAAAAAUACAAAGAUAAAUAAACAAAGAUGAGAAUCUAGGGAAACUGAGGCACAACAUUACAUACUCUCCUUCUGAAUAUUUGAAUUAUUGAAUUACCUCCCCUGGAUACCUGGGAGGUCUCAGCAUCAUAAUUUUGACCAACCCAAUGUGAGGCAAGUAAAUAAAAAUGAAACUAGAAAAUGCAAGGACUUAUGGCAAGGUUAAGUCUCUUCCUGACAACCCCAGAGUUAUGAGCAGUACAAAGUCCCUCAUCUCAGCCAAAGAAACCAGUUUGAGAUGAACAGUUCACUGUGUUAGGUGGUCUUCAGUCAUUUGUGCACUUAACUCAGCUUCUGGAGUAGCAAGGCUCAAGACAGUCAUGGUGCCCAUUCAGAGGGGCAUCUCACUCCAGGGGAGAAGGGUGAGGCUUGGAGUAGCUCCACCUGUCCCCACCCAGAGGAACAGACAGGGCUGCUACUAGAAUACAGAUUUCUGAGCAGAGCUAUCAGAGCAUGCACAGUUAGACCAUGAAGGCAGGCAAACCCCAAACUUUAGAGGCUUGAUCUCAAAACUGCAAUGUUAUUAAAAAUGCUGAGAUACCAAUUAAGAAACUGAGGUUACAGGGUUGGAGACUGCCAGUCCCAAGACGGGUGUCUUUAUCUUGGAGAUUUCCUAAAACAAAACAAAACAGUCCCAAAAGCUGAGUCUGCCAGGGCAAAUCCACAGAAUAAGAGGUUUCAAAGCUAAAGCAUAGUAAAAACAAAAAGGACUGCUUAAAGACUUCCCAUUCAAUCUGAAUUGAUGAGAUAGGGGGUGGGGCAGAAGUACCUAAGGCAAAGUGAACAGAAAACUAAGGGUUCCCACUAUUUUAGAUAUUUUGAGAAAAAUCCACCAGUUUCCCUAGUUCCCUAUCUCUUCCUCUCCUUUUUUUUUCCUCAUGGAAAGGAAUCAUCCAAAAAAAAAAAAAAAAAGUAAAUAGUCAAAUAACCAUCCACAUAUAAAUCCCAAAAGUGAAUUAAAGUUCUUAUACAUAACAGACUAGUACAGGAGGAGUUUCCUAAAAAAAAAUCAAAUCAAAUCAAAUCCCUCAAACAAUUACAUAUUCUGAAGUGAACAUAGACAUUAUAAACCUAUUAUAACUUCCUUAACAGCAACAGUUACCAAUUUUAACAAUUUCCAUCCCAAAUCUUAGACAUAUAGUCAUAUUUGCAUUUUUUCUAACUCUAGUAAUAGAAUUGUAAUUUUAACAAUAAUUCAUCAACCACUUUCCCACUUCCCUCAUAUCAGUCCAAAUCACAUCAGGAGCAUUGGCGAUGGUCUCCAUCUUAGCUGCUUCGGGCUGAGAAAUGGGCAAAGGCUCUCAAUCCAUGCGGGAGUGUGGGUAUGGUGUCAAUCUAAGCUUCAGAUGGGUUGAUCCAUGUCUCAGAAGAGGUUCAAUAAUCUGUAAUUUGACCAAAAUCUAGAACAACGAAAAAUUAAAUCUAAUAAGUUUAGAACAGUCUGGCAUUGCAACAAGUGGGGAGGCCAGUAUAGAUUGGCCAGCAGUUCCUAUGUGAAGGAAUAAGUUUGCUUCACAGGACAAGCAGACGGCUAUAGUCCCAAUAAAUAGCAGUUAGGUUUCACAGACCAUUGUUAAUUGUCCUCUUAUCAUUUAGAAACAUUUUUAAAACAAAACACAAGUAUCCAAUAAUAGACAUGAAGGCUAAAUACUUAUUUGCCUAAGUAUUUAAGAUAUAAUGAUUACAUAUAACCAAAUUGGAAACAUCAAGGUAUGACAUAUUUGAAUUGUAUUAAUAGUUCUUAUUAACUAUUGUUCUGAUCAUAGAAAUCAGUCACAGCAGGAAAAAAAUGCAAGAAUAUAAACUAUAACAUAAUAUAAACAGUUAAAACUCAAUCUUCAGCACAUCAGAGAGCGAAGCUUUAAAACUUCCAAAUAGCAUUAAUUAUAAGCCCAAAGAAUUUUAUCUCCAAAGUUUCAGAUAAAUCCCAAACACUUUUUUACCAUGACCUUAUAUCAGUAACAGUAAGAAAUUUAUCCCAGAAAAUUCACACAAUUCUUAUAUACCUAAGUAGAUGUUUCAUCUUGAAUAAAUUGAAUAUUAUACCAAUCAUUUUGCUUUUAAAAUACCCAAUACGCAGAAAAAUCCCAAACUACCUAUUGUUCACAACAAAAACAUUUUCAAAAGGUAGAAGGCAAAAACUAUUAUCCUUGGAGGUCCAUUUCAGAUAAUUGGCAUCAAUACAGUUAAUUAAAACUUUCUAUUUUCACAUAAAAAGAAUCUGAAAAGUUCUUAAAAACAUCAAUUAAACUUUUUGAAAUAACCCUUUCAAACUAUAGAUCACAUUUCUGAUCAUAUUCUUUAAUAUUCAUAACCAUUAUUUAUCAAAAGAAACAAAUAUCCAAUCAAUUAACAUCUUGUAAGAGCAGCUUGUCUUUUUAAAUAACCGUUUGUUUUCUUCAGCCAAAGGAACCAAGAGGCUGCGGCUUUCCACUGCUGUUCUGCUGCUCUCCCCCCCACAAAAACACAUCCAGUCUCACAGCCAUCUCACUGUGACUACCCUUUUCAACCAGUUCCUUCUUUUUCCCACUGAUUUCUUCUUGAAAUCAUUUGCUUCUACUAAGCAAUCCUUCUUAAAUCACCUUCAUUCUCUUGUCCCAUCUCUCUGUGUCUCUCUUCCCAAUGCUUAUUUGCUCAAACCUUCUUUGAAAUACUUCUGACUAAACGCUCUAUUUAAACUAUUAAUUGCUUUUGUAAAUCAAUCUCUUUUCCCUUGUCUUUAAAUCACCUUUUUUUUUAACUUUAAACUUCAAGAUUCACAAUUAAUUUUGAAUCAAAUUUCAUAAAACUCAUAAUAUAGUUUACAAAUUACCCAAUACUUUUAAAAAGCAACAUACCAUUUAAGUAGGGAGAUACAAACAUGAGCCCCCCCCUAAGGUAAGCUACUGGCAUUUUGUUUAAUAACUUAUAUUUCAAUUUGAAGUCCAACCAAAUAAUAAAAAAAAGAAAAGUUUUUCUCUUCAGUUGUGAAGGUCACAAUAUUCAAACAGUUCUUAAGAUUUUACACUCAGAAUAAAUCUAACAUGUGCAAAUAAAAUUAUUUCCCCCAAUUUCAAUUUUAUUUCAAUUUUAAAAUUAUAUUACCUCUUUAAAAUAUAGUAAAUUCCCAAAACUCCUAAUCAAAUAUUGCAGACAAACAAUUACCCAGUUUAGUCUUCUUAAACUUUUUGUUCUCUAAUUCCAUGAAGGCAAACUUACUAAUAAUGAUUUUUCUUUCUUCUCCUGGAAAAUUUUCUUUCUAGAAGUAUGCCUAGUUUUCCCACAAGUCCAACAGGUCAGAACACUCUGUGUUCAACUAUUUACCUCUUUUACUCUAUUUUUAUUCCUCCCUUCCAAUAUCUGCAGUUUCUUAUUUCCAAUCUUAAAUUUUCCAAUUUUAACACACACACCAAUAUAAAGUUAUUUUAAAAUUAACCAGUACUUUAGUUUGUAAAAUUUCCUAAAAUCUACCUAGAUAUUUCAUUCAAACGUCUUUUCUUUAGUAACCAGGAAAGAGUUAAGCACCAAUCCUUGAUUUACCUUGAGAAUUCUUUUCUCUGGCUGAGUCCUGAUAACAGACUCCUUGUUUACAAGAGUGAUAGCCACUGUUCUAUUUUCUCAAAACUUUCAAA
This is a long non-coding RNA of Sarcophilus harrisii (Tasmanian devil), 5186 nucleotides long. Lineage: Eukaryota; Metazoa; Chordata; Mammalia; Dasyuromorphia; Dasyuridae. The record is from Ensembl.